CUAGAGUUCUGGGCCGCACGCGCGCUACACUGACAGAGCCAACGAGUUCAUUUCCUUAGCCGAAAGGUUUGGGUAAUCUUGUUAAACUCUGUCGUGCUGGGGAUAGAGCAUUGCAAUUAUUGCUCUUCAACGAGGAAUGCCUAGUAAGCGCAUGUCAUCAGCAUGCGUUGAUUACGUCCCUGCCCUUUGUACACACCGCCCGUCGCUACUACCGAUUGAAUGGCUCGGUGAGGCCUUCGGACUGGCCCAGGGAGGUCGGCAACGACCACCCAGGGCCGGAAAGUUGGUCAAACCCGGUCAUUUAGAGGAAGUAAAAGUCGUAACAAGGUCUCCGUAGGUGAACCUGCGGAGGGAUCAUUACAAGUGACCCCGGUUUACCACCGGGAUGUUCAUAACCCUUUGUUGUCCGACUCUGUUGCCUCCGGGGCGACCCUGCCUUCGGGCGGGGGCUCCGGGUGGACACUUCAAACUCUUGCGUAACUUUGCAGUCUGAGUAAACUUAAUUAAUAAAUUAAAACUUUUAACAACGGAUCUCUUGGUUCUGGCAUCGAUGAAGAACGCAGCGAAAUGCGAUAAGUAAUGUGAAUUGCAGAAUUCAGUGAAUCAUCGAAUCUUUGAACGCACAUUGCGCCCCCUGGUAUUCCGGGGGGCAUGCCUGUUCGAGCGUCAUUUCACCACUCAAGCCUCGCUUGGUAUUGGGCAACGCGGUCCCCCCGUGCCUCAAAUCGACCGGCUGGGUCUUCUGUCCCCUAAGCGUUGUGGAAACUAUUCCCUAAAGGGGGCUCGGGAGGCUACCC
Molecule: ribosomal RNA, 797 nt
Filed under: Mycosphaerellaceae sp. LM36
Lineage: Eukaryota; Fungi; Ascomycota; Dothideomycetes; Mycosphaerellales; Mycosphaerellaceae
Description: bacterial SSU rRNA
Rfam family: Eukaryotic small subunit ribosomal RNA (bases 1-360)
Source: RNAcentral